UCCCCUAGAGAGUUUUCUAUUUGGCUCAGACUAACUUCAAGUUUUGCAAUUGCUUGCGCAUGGAAUUGGUUAGUCUGGGUUUGGGUCAUGUUGGUCUGUUGUUGCUGUUGGAUAAAAUCUUGUUGUUGUUUCAUCAUAUUAGCCAUCAUGAUUUCUAAUGGUGAAGAUUGUUGUGGGAUAGGGGUAUUAUAAAGAGGUACAGAUGAAACCAAAGGUUGGUUUAUUUGUGAUGGACCUAUCCUGGAAAAGUUUCUCUAAAAACCUGAUGGACCACCUUGAUGCUGAAUAGGUUCAUUUUGCUUGUACGAGAAAUUUGGGUGGAACCUAUUAUCAGGGUGGUAGACUGGGCUGAAUGAAUUAGGAGUGGGCUUCAUGAAGGCACUAUAUGAAUUUAGAGCAUUUGCUUGCUUGGCCUUUAUGG
Molecule: long non-coding RNA, 421 nt
Filed under: Phoenix dactylifera (date palm)
Lineage: Eukaryota; Viridiplantae; Streptophyta; Magnoliopsida; Arecales; Arecaceae
Description: long non-coding RNA (PDAC_LNC012529)
Source: RNAcentral